RNAcentral lists this ribosomal RNA (484 nucleotides) under uncultured bacterium. RNAcentral's name for it is "partial 16S ribosomal RNA". It matches the Rfam family "Bacterial small subunit ribosomal RNA", at positions 29 to 507 of the family's 1533-position model. The record is from RNAcentral.
AUUGAACGCUGGCGGCAUGCUUUACACAUGCAAGUCGAACGGCAGCGCGGGCUUCGGCCUGGCGGCGAGUGGCGAACGGGUGAGUAAUACAUCGGAACGUGCCCAGUAGUGGGGGAUAGCUCGGCGAAAGCCGGAUUAAUACCUCAUACGACCUGAGGGUGAAAGCGGGGGAUCUUCGGACCUCGCGCUAUUGGAGCGGCCGAUGGCAGAUUAGCUAGUUGGUGGGGUAAAGGCCUACCAAGGCGACGAUCUGUAGCUGGUCUGAGAGGACGACCAGCCACACUGGGACUGAGACACGGCCCAGACUCCUACGGGAGGCAGCAGUGGGGAAUUUUGGACAAUGGGCGAAAGCCUGAUCCAGCAAUGCCGCGUGUGUGAUGAAGGCCUUCGGGUUGUAAAGCACUUUUGGCGGGAACGAAAAGGACUGUGCCAAUACCACGGUUCGAUGACGGUACCCGCAGAAUAAGCACCGGCUAACUACGUG